This 497-nucleotide ribosomal RNA is filed under the name uncultured bacterium. RNAcentral describes it as "partial 16S ribosomal RNA". It matches the Rfam family "Bacterial small subunit ribosomal RNA", at positions 28 to 507 of the family's 1533-position model. The record is from RNAcentral.
GAUGAACGCUGGCGGCGUGCCUAAUACAUGCAAGUCGAGCGAACGGACGAGAAGCUUGCUUCUCUGAUGUUAGCGGUGGACGGGUGAGUAACACGUGGAUAACCUACCUAUAAGACUGGGAUAACUUCGGGAAACCGGAGCUAAUACCGGAUAAUAUUUUGAACCGCAUGGUUCAAAAGUGAAAGACGGUCUUGCUGUCUCUUAUAGAUGGAUCCGCGCUGCAUUAGCUAGUUGGUAAGGUAACGGCUUACCAAGGCAACGAUGCAUAGCCGACCUGAGAGGGUGAUCGGCCACACUGGAACUGAGACACGGUCCAGACUCCUACGGGAGGCAGCAGUAGGGAAUCUUCCGCAAUGGGCGAAAGCCUGACGGAGCAACGCCGCGUGAGUGAUGAAGGUCUUCGGAUCGUAAAACUCUGUUAUUAGGGAAGAACAUAUGUGUAAGUAACUGUGCACAUCUUGACGGUACCUAAUCAGAAAGCCACGGCUAACUACGUG